RNAcentral lists this ribosomal RNA (426 nucleotides) under uncultured bacterium. Its description in RNAcentral is "partial 16S ribosomal RNA". It matches the Rfam family "Bacterial small subunit ribosomal RNA", at positions 354 to 796 of the family's 1533-position model. The record is from RNAcentral.
GUGGGGAAUAUUGCACAAUGGGGGAAACCCUGAUGCAGCGACGCCGCGUGAGCGAAGAAGUAUUUCGGUAUGUAAAGCUCUAUCAGCAGGGAAGAAGAAUGACGGUACCUGACUAAGAAGCACCGGCUAAAUACGUGCCAGCAGCCGCGGUAAUACGUAUGGUGCAAGCGUUAUCCGGAUUUACUGGGUGUAAAGGGAGCGCAGGCGGUACGGCAAGUCUGAUGUGAAAUCCCGGGGCUCAACCCCGGUACUGCAUUGGAAACUGUCGGACUAGAGUGUCGGAGGGGUAAGUGGAAUUCCUAGUGUAGCGGUGAAAUGCGUAGAUAUUAGGAGGAACACCAGUGGCGAAGGCGGCUUACUGGACGAUUACUGACGCUGAGGCUCGAAAGCGUGGGGAGCAAACAGGAUUAGAAACCCGAGUAGUCC